Molecule: ribosomal RNA, 391 nt
Filed under: uncultured bacterium
Lineage: Bacteria
Description: bacterial SSU rRNA
Rfam family: Bacterial small subunit ribosomal RNA
Source: RNAcentral
AUUGAACGCUGGCGGCAUGCCUUACACAUGCAAGUCGAACGGUAACAGGUCUUCGGAUGCUGACGAGUGGCGAACGGGUGAGUAAUACAUCGGAACGUGCCCGAUCGUGGGGGAUAACGCAGCGAAAGCUGUGCUAAUACCGCAUACGAUCUACGGAUGAAAGCGGGGGACUCGCAAGGGCCUCGCGCGGACGGAGCGGCCGAUGGCAGAUUAGGUAGUUGGUGGGAUAAAAAGCUUACCAAGCCGACGAUCUGUAGCUGGUCUGAGAGGACGACCAGCCACACUGGGACUGAGACACGGCCCAGACUCCUACGGGAGGCAGCAGUGGGGAAUUUUGGACAAUGGGCGGCAAGCCUGAUCCAGCCAUGCCGCGUGCAGGAUGAAGGCCUUC